RNAcentral lists this ribosomal RNA (256 nucleotides) under uncultured bacterium. RNAcentral's name for it is "partial small subunit ribosomal RNA". It matches the Rfam family "Bacterial small subunit ribosomal RNA", at positions 26 to 286 of the family's 1533-position model. The record is from RNAcentral.
AGGACGAACGCUGGCGGCGUGCUUAACACAUGCAAGUCGAGCGGAAAGGCCCUUCGGGGUACUCGAGCGGCGAACGGGUGAGUAACACGUGAGCAACCUGCCCUUAGCUCUGGGAUAGCUCCGGGAAACCGGAAUUAAUACCGGAUAUUACACCGGCUGGCAUCGGCUGGUGUGGAAAGAUUUAUCGGCUAAGGAUGGACUCGCGGCCUAUCAGCUUGUUGGUGGGGUAGAAGCCUACCAAGGCGACGACGGGUAG